Long non-coding RNA from Hydra vulgaris (swiftwater hydra), 526 nucleotides. RefSeq lists it as uncharacterized. NCBI's taxonomy places the organism in Eukaryota, Metazoa, Cnidaria, Hydrozoa, Anthoathecata, Hydridae. The record is from RefSeq and is a predicted model, not a curated record.
GUCUUUGCAAGAUAUUAAAGAUAAAAAUACUAUUUUUUUUUACUUUUUUUAGAAUUUUUUAAUGCUUAAUGUACUUUUAGUUAGUACUGUGAGUGAACAACGUCAUAAAAGUUUGCUUAUGCCGAGAAUGACACCUGGUUUAUUAAUGUUACAAAAAGAGGAAACUGAUUAUGCGCCGUUCAUCAAAGUGAACACAUCAUUGCAAUCGGAAACUAGCAACAACCAAGGCAUUUAAUUUAUAACAGCAGUGAACAUUUUUUCAGCAUUUAAAAACAUUGGUAAUCUUCCAACCUUACUUCAUUCAAUGUUUGCUCGUCUCACAAAGAUUGAACAAAAAUUAGAUACAUGUCUUACGCAGCAGAAAAUGAUAUUGAAGGUUGUUGGCUCAUCAGAGGUUGCUGUUGCAUUACCUGACAAUAUAUCAUUGCCAUUGCAUUCCAUUGUGCAUUUAGAACAUCUUGAGCAUGUUCUACUAGAAAAAUCUUGAUUGGAUGCAUUUGUAUAUUUAAUUUAGAUAAUAUUUUUA